CUAAGAAUGGGGGCUGGUUGCUGGGGAGCCAACCUUGUGGUCAAAGAAUAAAUGACAAUGGACAUCAGAAUAUAUCUGGAAGUGAAAGGGAGAGUGGUACCUUGCACAAGCAUAUUACUCUAACACCCCAUAGGAAGAAUUUUCUCCCUGCCCAGCAACAGCUCAGCCAAUAAGAGACGGUCACAGCCCAGCCAAUGAGAGACAAUCACUGCCCAGCCAAUGAGAGAUGGUCAGAGCCCAGCCAAUGAGAGACAAUCACCGCCCAGCCAAUGAGAGACAAUCACUGCCCAGCCAAGGAGAGACGAUCACAGCCCAGCCAACGAGAAUCCACUACACUUGAACUCCCAGUUCAGGGCAAUGGAUUUUUUUUGUUGUUGUUGUUUACACAUCUCUCUCAACAUCCUCUCUCUUCUGGAAACUAGCAUUCUUCUGUUUUGUUCUCCAGACUUGCCUGUAAUUUUUCCAUCACUUGCUUGACUGGGAUUGCAAUUCGGUUAUUCCUGACCAACCCAUUUUUGCUGCACAGGCGUGACUUCUUCCUGCUUGAAAAUGCACUGUCUGUGUCGUUGCCUGAAUUAAAGACUAAGUCAACCUCCCACAGGGGAGGCUCCCACAGAACAUACGCGAGGUUACUCCCCCCUGGUGGCCAGAGCUGGUGGAAGGCUGGAAAGCUGGGUAGAAGAGAACUGGAUUCACACUAGAGAAAUUCUCUUCUUGGGCAACUUGCUACUUGGAAAAGUCUGAUUUGCCACGUGGGGGUGCCCAGGAGCCUGGGGCAAAUGGGCUGGGCUCUACUGACUGAACGGUGCAGAGCCAAACGGUGGUGAGAGCCAGAGAUGACCUUACAGAGAUUAUUCAAUUCACCUGCUCACUUUAGAGACGAAGCAACUGACAUUUGGCUGAAUAACUGGCCCAAGGACGUGUUUUUGUGGUUUUUUGUUUGUUUGUUUGUUUUUAAUGGAUCUCCUAAGCACUAUGGUUAUAUUUACCAUAACACACAGAAUUUAAAAUUUUAAUUUUGUGUCUUUGCUGCUAGCCUGUGAGCCCCGUGAAGGGAGGGAUGGUGUGUGUCACUCGUUGUGCGUCCCCUCAGGCUGACUUCACCGUGGCUGUGGGGUAGGGUGGUAACUGGCUUCAUUCUGCAGCUGAGGACGCCAGGCCUGGGGAGCGGGACAGACUCACCUGGGAUCCCGUGGCUGGUCCUGCAACCAGCACAGUGCUCAGAACAGGCACUCAGUAAGUAUUUGUUGAAUGAAUGAAUGAAUGAAUGACCAAGUGAGUGAGUGAGUGAAGCAAUGGAGCCAGGAUUCCAAUCCAGGGCUCCAGUGCCCAGGCCUGCCUUCUGCUUGAGCACAAGAAUAUCACUAGGGCUGUCACUGAUGUACCGCAGGAACUCAGACACAUCCGUUAAGUACAAAUAAAUGGCUGAAAGAAGAAUAGAGCUGUAACUCAUCUGAACCUCAGUUUCCUGUAGAUAAAAAUACUUUCUUCACAGAGCUGCCCUGGGGUUUCAAUAAGAUGUGAAAGAUAUGAAAAAUUCAUGUGCAUUGCCGCACCGCACACUGCAAGAUGAUUCCAGCAUAGGCUCUGAAGUUGGCUAAAAUGAAAUCACGGGACCUGCACGCUUCCUGGCUCUGUGACCUGGGACAGGCAGCUUGGCCUCUGCUGGCCCCUGCUUCCACUGUGGAAUGGGGAUGGUAACAGCACCUACUGCAUACAGUUCUCGUAAGAAGAUGAAAAGAAGCAGAUUACACAUAAGGAGGCACUUCAUGUUAAUGAAUGGGAACUACUUUAUUAUCUUCGAAAAAAAGAAAGUUUUACAAGAGGUAUUAAGGUGGGAAGGAAAACAAGCUACUGUUGUGUUGAGUGAAAACAAAAAAACCCCAGACUCGGCUCUCUGAAUGAAGUCACAUUUUCGCCUCUUCAAUCUGAAUUCAGGCCAGCCUCAAAUACUUGCUCUCUGGUGUUGAUUAGGACCUCACAUGGGAGUUGCAUACUGCACCUGCUGAAAUUAGUACCGAAAGGAAAAAUACGGACUCUUCCCGAUGUAAACGGAUCUAGCUUCCCAAGCUCUUCUUUCAGAAACACAGUGGCUAACAGCUUUUGAUACGUUAGAAACUCAAUAACCUAGCUAUAAUCCUAUGAAUGAAGUAUUUGAUGUUCAGUGGUGCAGUCUCAAACUGCGGAGAAUAUAACUUAUCUUUUCUAGGGUUGAAGCUAAAAAAAAA
Canis lupus familiaris (dog) is the source of this 2228-nucleotide long non-coding RNA. RefSeq lists it as uncharacterized. NCBI's taxonomy places the organism in Eukaryota, Metazoa, Chordata, Mammalia, Carnivora, Canidae. The record is from RefSeq and is a predicted model, not a curated record. The transcript is spliced from 5 exons.